This 636-nucleotide ribosomal RNA is filed under the name Hynobius leechii (Gensan salamander). Its description in RNAcentral is "partial 12S ribosomal RNA". Lineage: Eukaryota; Metazoa; Chordata; Amphibia; Caudata; Hynobiidae. The record is from RNAcentral.
CAUUAACAUUUUAAAUGAAGUCUAGCCCCCCUGUGAAAAUGCCCUUCUUUACCUAUUAGUAAAUAAGGAGCGGAUAUCAGGCACAAUUUAUGCCCAUAACAUCUUGCCAAGCCACACCUCUACAGGAAUUCAGCAGUGAUAAACAUUGAAAAAUAAGCGUCAAUAAGCUCGAAUCAGUAAUAAUUUUAAGAGUUGGUAAAUUUCGUGCCAGCCACCGCGGUUAUACGAGAAACUCAAAUUAAUAAAAACGGCCUAAAGCGUGAUUAAAUUAUAUUAAAAUAAAUAGAAAUAAAAAUUAACUCGACUGUUAUACGUAUAUGUUAAACGGUAAACCAAAAACGAAAGAUAUUCUAACAAAUAAACUACUUGAACCCAGAUACCCUACUAUGCUCAGCCUUAAACUUUGGAACAACCCGCCUGAGUACUACGAGCCACAGCCGAAUUAGGUGGAAAGAAAUGGGCUACCUUUUUUAAACUAGAAAAUACGAAAAAUUUUUUGGAAAACUUUUUUAAGGGGGGUUUUGCCGUAAAAAGGGAAUAGGGUGUUUUUUUUAAAUAGGCCAUAGGGGGGGCACACACCGCCCGUCACCCUCCUCCGGAAAACCACUAAUUUUAAUGAGAAGGGAGGAGGAGGAC